CAGGGCGCACCUUUCAACUAAGGAACUCCGGGUGGCUGUGUAGAACCAUCCUCACCCUAGAAAGGGGGAAACUGAAAGAAAAAGCAGAACACGCCAUUAACAAGGCCAGAACCCCGACUGCCAUUCCUGGACGGGAGCCACCAACACCCGCAAAAUCGAUCGAUUCAGCCUGGGACGCUUGCUGUUUCCGAACCUCUGUUGCCACCUAUCCCAGUUUGGAGGGAAUUUUCCCAAGGAUGGUGAAGAAGGGAUUUCCACACGCCGCCUCACUCAGCCCCGCACCCCUGGCCACCAGCCAGGACUUAGGGUGUAGCUUCAUGACCACACUGCUGUAGGAAGCCAUAAGUUGGAAAUCAACGGGCCUGGCUUGAAGUGUGGCCUUAGGCAACACCGUUCUCAUCUACAUCUGGAUUCUCCAACAAAGCUGGGAAAAAAACGAUCCAAGGGAAGCCAAUCAAAGAGCCUGGAUUGCCAGUCUUCCCUGCUGCGAUCUCCGCCUGCGAUUCUCCAGGGGAAAUGUCCUUUAUGACCUUACAGCUCACCUGGAACCCUCCACCUAGGGCCCGAGGCAGCACAUCCUCUCGUGCCCGGGCACUUCCAGGCAUUGCCCUGAGUACUGGGCACUUCACACACUGGGCUGGACCACUCACCGGAGUGAAUAAGGAGGCUUGAAGCUGUCCUGGUACAACAAUGGAAUGAAGCGCUAGUCUCAGCUCAGCCACUUGGAAUAUGACUCCAACUCUCACAUUUCUGUGGGGUGUAUUCAUUUCAGCUUUUUGUUUGGUGCUAUGGGGAGGGAAGGGCCCUCAGACUGGCAUCCUUUUUCUUCCAGGAUGAUGAUGAAUAUUAUGAAAGUCUGAGGCUGUUUUUAAAAUUCUGCUCUAAUACGUUGUUUUUCUGUGCAUAAGAAUUAUGUAUUCUUAGCUGCAAAACUGGAAUCCGUCUGCUCAUGGAUAAACUUCUGGCCAUGAGCAUGUACCUUUCAGGUAACUUCCCUAUCAGAGAAGCUUACAAUCAAGAAUCCUACUUCCCUAGUUCCCUACACAGGCCCAGGAGGCUUUUGGUGGUAUCCGCUGGACUUUUGAAAAUUAGGGAAUUUCUCCUACUCUGAACUCUACCAGGAAUCACAUAUCAAGAUCUCAGUACCAUCUUACCUAGACCCUCUUGACCUCUUCUUUCUCCAUAAUCUCUUUCUAGCUCAUGUCAUCCAGACUCGAGGGCCCCAUUCUCAGUUUGACACUGAGGACACCCACGCUAUUAUCUCUGGCUGUGACCUUUCCCACGAGCUCCAAAUUCACACCAUCUUUUGACGUCUCCACUUAACUUCCCCAUUUCGGUGUCUCAAACUUGACAAUUCAAAACAGAACUCCCUCCCACUUCCAAACUGGUUUCCUACCCAACUUUCCCAGGCCCCCAGUUUCUCAAGUCAGAAAUCUAUGAGUCAUCCUUGAUGUUUGCCAUUCCCUCAUCCCUCCCAUCCAACCCAUUCGUAGGCUCUUGGGAAUCUACCUCCAAAAUGUCUCUGGAAUCCAUCCUCUUCUCUCCACCUCCACUGCCAACCGCCUCUCACCUGCAAUAGCUCUGAGGCAGCCUCCCCACUUCUUCUGCCUCCCAUCCCCACCCCUACAUAUUCCUGUCCUAUCUCCACCCAGAAGCAAACAAGAUCUUCUUUAACUGUAAAUUGGUUCACAUCUCCCCUGCUUAGAACUUUCCAAGGCCUUGACAUUAUUCCAAGAUCAAGACCAAACUCUUGACUGUGGCCAGUGAGACCUUUCCUGAACUGGUCCUACCUACCUCUGCAAACCCAUCUAGUGACACCUUUCCCUUAGCUUGCCUCCAACAUAGUGUAUUAGUUUCCUAUGGCUGCUGCAGGAAAUGACACAAAUUAUCCCCUUAUAGUCGUGGAAGCCAGAAGUCCAAAAUGGGCUGGAGCCAAGGCAGGCAGGGCUAUGCUGCUUGCAGAGGUUCUAGGGGAGAAUCUAUUUCUUGGUCUUCUUUGGCUUCUAGAGCUGCAAUCCUUGGCUCAUGGCGCCUUCCUCCACCUUCAGAGCCAGCAGUGUAGCAUCUUACUUGGUGAUCACAUUUCUUUCUUCUCCAGUGUCAUAUUUCCCUUUGCUUUACAUUGUCCUUUAAAUUUCUCUUAUAAGGAAACUGCGAUUGCAUUUAAGACCCACCCAGGUAAUCCAAGAUGAUCUUCCCAUCUCAAGACCCUUAACUGAAUCCCACCUCCAAAGUCCCUUUUGCCAGGUAAGGCAACAUUCCCAGGUCCCGGGGAUUAGGAUCUACAUAUGUUCGGGAGUGACUAUUGAGCCUACCAUGCAUACCACGCUCCUUCCCUCACCAGGGUCUUUGUACCUCUUGUCCCCCAUUACUAGAAUGCUCCCUUCUUCCCUCUCACUCUUUGCUUGGCCAUAUCUUUCUCAUUCUUGGGGACACAGCUUACCUGGCACCUCCUCAGACAACCUGUCUCGGACCAGCCCCUUAACAGCCUGAAGACUUUUUUUUUUUUUUUUUUGAUACGGAGUCUUGCUCUGUUGCCCAGGCUAGAGUGCAGUAGUGUGAUCUCAGCUCACUGCAACCUCUGCCUCCCGGGUUCAAGCAGUUCUCCUGCUUCAACCUCCCAAGUAGCUGGGAUUACAGGCACCUGCUACCAUGCCCGGCUAAUUUUUGUAUUUUUAGUAGAGACAGGGUUUCACCAUGUUGGCCAGGCUGGUCUCGAACUCCCGACCGCAAGUGAUCUGCCCACCUUGGCCUCCCAAAGUGCUGAGAUUACAGGCAUGAGCCACAGUGCCUGGAUGAAGACUUUUUCAUGUCUUUUUCAACUGACUUGUUUUCUGCCUGCCUCUCCCUCCACCCUCACCUAAGCACCUUGAGGACCAUGUCUGUUUUGUCAAUCCACUGGUCAUCCUAAUAUAACUGGUUAAUAAAUCAUUGCUGAAUUUAUUUAUUU
This 2950-nucleotide long non-coding RNA is filed under the name Homo sapiens (human). RNAcentral describes it as "HSALNT0385884". The record is from RNAcentral. Lineage: Eukaryota; Metazoa; Chordata; Mammalia; Primates; Hominidae.